This is a long non-coding RNA of Hemicordylus capensis (graceful crag lizard), 1555 nucleotides long. RefSeq lists it as uncharacterized. NCBI's taxonomy places the organism in Eukaryota, Metazoa, Chordata, Lepidosauria, Squamata, Cordylidae. The transcript is spliced from 4 exons. The record is from RefSeq and is a predicted model, not a curated record.
CAAGAGCUCAGUGAACAUUACAUAUCUGAGAAUGCACAAAAUGGGAAACGUUGCCUCUCCUUCCUGAUAAAGCUGUGAUUGAUUGAUUUUUGUGCAAACAGAAUUGCCCCUCCUCAUCCCAUUCUGAUCUGCUCUCUAUGCAGAAUAGGUCAGGUGUCCUAAUUUCCCCUUGCCACCCUUGCCCUGGCCAGAGUAAAGAGGAGAGCUCUAGCUUCUCUCUCUAGGUGAAGACUGGGAAGCUGAUCCUCCCUACAGGGGCACUGAGCUUUGGAGAAUGCAGCACACCUGCAGGAACGAUCCCCACUCCACUCUCGGACUCCUGAGGCAGACUCAGUCCCCCAGGAAGUGACAAGGAACAAACACAAACUCCCUGGAUGAAGAUGACCUGCCACGGGCUGGAAGCAGACAAUCACUUCUGAGAGAGCUGACAAACAUGUUUGAAGAGACAUCUCCCUCAGUGGUGUACAUACAUCUUUUGUCCCACUGCUGCCCCAUGGCCAACAGGUUUUUGAAACCACACACAGACUUGCAAAACCUGUUUACCAGAGAAUCCCACUUUGGAAGAUGCCAACAUGAAGAACAAGAGAGUGUAUUCAAGCAUGUGCAGAGUCCCCUUCCUCUACCACUGAGUAACCUCAUUCAGGCUCAACACGACUGGUAUUAUAUGGAAAGGCUUCUGGGCAAAUAAUCUGACUUCUAACCAGACUUGGGCUCUGACUGGGGAGUCAAACUGAGCCCAAACUUAAAAACCAGUUCAUAGAGGUUUCUUCAGUGAAUAAAAACUGAACCUGAACCCAACAUCUCAAGGUUGACUUGAACCUGAACCAGAAUUGAACCUUUAAACACAACAGUAACAACAACAAAAGUGGUAACCAGUUCAGAAUAGUGGUUCAGUAAUCGGGCACUCAGAAAUUAUUCUUCAAGGAGUUGUGAUAUUUCCCAGCAAGUCUUCUGAAAAGAAGAGGAGGACCAGAGAAACAGUAGAGAUUAGUAGGCAGGGUGUAGAACUGGCAAGCUGGUGCUCAAGUAGAACGUCAUACCCACAGGCUGUUGUCCAGCAGCCACAAGGCCUCAUUCAACUAUGAGGCUGCAACUAUCUGCAAGUUUCUUUUACUCUUCCUCUACAAUUCAUUCUAAGCAGGACUCAGGCAGAUGACAAUACUGCACACAGCCUCUUUAUUUAUCUGCACAUUUCCCCUUAAACCACUUUCCCUUAAAAAUAGCUUCCUUAAAACAAAACUCGAAAGGUGGAAUAGAAAAGCAGGGGGCUGCUCAUUGCACUUCGGCUGUCAAGUUCUGUGGUUCACAUUGUGCAGAUGACUUGCUGGGUUCCGAAUCUGAAGCUAAUGCUUGAUGCAACAAAAGCCAAAAGGUCCAGGUCUCAAGGUGCCGGCCAGAACACAGAAUGACUGGUUGCAACUGAGCAGCUGCCACAGAUCAGGAGCCUCCAAUGCCUACACAUACUUCACAAGAAAUAUUCCUUCCCCCAGCAUAAUUUUCAUUUAUAUUUCCUUUGAUUAAAAAGUGAGAUGAGAAACUCUGAUAGAGUUAUUAA